AUGGAGAGAUAUAGGGAGCAAAAGAAGGACUUGCAUAUGGUGUUCAUUGACUUGGAGAAGGCCUAUGAUAAGAUACCGCGGAAUGUCAUGUGGUGGGCCUUGGAGAAACACAAAGUCCCAGCAAAGUACAUUACCCUCAUCAAGGACAUGUACGAGAAUGUUGUGACAAGUGUUCGAACAAGUGAUGUCGACACUGAUGACUUCCCGAUUAAGAUAGGACUGCAUCAGGGGUCAGCUUUGAGACCUUACCUUUUUGCAUUGGUGAUGGAUGAGGUCACAAGGGAUAUACAAGGAGAUAUCCCAUGGUGUAUGCUCUUUGCAGAUGAUGUGGUUCUAGUUGACGAUAGUCGGACAGGGGUAAAUAGGAAGUUAGAUUUAUGGAGACAAACCUUGGAAUCGAAAGGGUUUAGGCUUAGUAGAACUAAAACCGAGUACAUGAUGUGCGGUUUCAGUACUACUAGCUGUGAGGAGGAGGAAGUUAGCCUUGAUGGCCAGGUGGUUCCACAGAAGGACACCUUUUGGUAUUUGGGGUCAAUGCUGCAGGGGGAUGAGGGUAUUGAUGAAGAUGUGAACCAUCGAAUCAAAGCCGGAUGGAUGAAGUGGCGCCAAGCUUCUGGCAUUCUCUGUGACAAGAGAGUGCCACAAAAGCUAAAAGGCAAGUUCUACAGGACGGCGGUUCGACCCGCAAUGUUGUAUGGCGCGGAGUGUUGGCCGACUAAAAGGCGACAUGUUCAACAGUUAGGUGUGGCGGAGAUGCGUAUGUUGAGAUGGAUGUGUGGCCACACGAGGAAGGAUCGAGUCCGGAAUGAUGAUAUACGAGAUAGAGUUGGGGUAGCACCAAUUGAGGAGAAGCUUGUCCAACAUCGUUUGAGAUGGUUUGGGCAUAUUCAGCGCAGGCCUCCAGAAGCUCCAGUGCAUAGCGGAUGGCUAAAGCGUGCGGAGAAUGUCAAGAGAGAGCGGGGU
Molecule: ribosomal RNA, 963 nt
Filed under: Triticum aestivum (bread wheat)
Lineage: Eukaryota; Viridiplantae; Streptophyta; Magnoliopsida; Poales; Poaceae
Description: partial small subunit ribosomal RNA
Source: RNAcentral